UGGGGAAUAUUGCACAAUGGGCGCAAGCCUGAUGCAGCGAUGCCGCGUGAGGGAAGAAGGUUUUCGGAUUGUAAACCUCUGUCUUUAGGGACGAUAAUGACGGUACCUAAGAAGGAAGCUCCGGCUAACUACGUGCCAGCAGCCGCGGUAAUACGUAGGGAGCAAGCGUUAUCCGGAAUUACUGGGUGUAAAGGGAGUGUAGGCGGGACUGCAAGUCAGAUGUGAAAAUUAUGGGCUCAACUCAUAACCUGCAUUUGAAACUGUAGUUCUUGAGUGAAGUAGAGGUAAGCGGAAUUCCUAGUGUAGCGGUGAAAUGCGUAGAUAUUAGGAGGAACAUCAGUGGCGAAGGCGGCUUACUGGGCUUUUACUGACGCUGAGGCUCGAAAGCGUGGGGAGCAAACAGG
RNAcentral lists this ribosomal RNA (404 nucleotides) under uncultured prokaryote. RNAcentral describes it as "bacterial SSU rRNA". It matches the Rfam family "Bacterial small subunit ribosomal RNA", at positions 355 to 776 of the family's 1533-position model. RNAcentral also lists the same sequence under 1 other name. The record is from RNAcentral.